GACGAACGCUGGCGGCGUGCUUAACACAUGCAAGUCGAACGGAAAGGCCCUGCUUUUGUGGGGUGCUCGAGUGGCGAACGGGUGAGUAACACGUGAGUAACCUGUCCUUGACUUUGGGAGAUCCUCAGGAAACUGGGGCUCAUACCGGAUAGGAUCUCCUGCUGCAUGGUGGGGGUUGGAUAGUUUCGGCGGUUGGGGAUGGACUCGCCGCCUAUUGGCUUGUUGGUGGGGUAGUGGCUUACCAAGGCCUUGAAGCGUAGCCGGCCUGGGAGGGGGAGCGGCCAAGUCGGGACUGGGAUACGGCCCGGACCCGACUGGUACGCAAGGGAGGGGAGGAGUAUAUAGUGGGAGGGGGGCAAGUGUGACACCGCAGCGUGCGGGAUGAGGGGCAUGGGGUUGGAAAGCACAGUCGUCUGAGCCGAGGCGUUAGUGACGGUAACGGGUAAAGAAGCACCGGCUAACUACGUG
This 468-nucleotide ribosomal RNA is filed under the name uncultured bacterium. Its description in RNAcentral is "partial 16S ribosomal RNA". It matches the Rfam family "Bacterial small subunit ribosomal RNA", at positions 28 to 507 of the family's 1533-position model. The record is from RNAcentral.